GGCCGCGUGGCGCAAUUUAGAACCCGUCGGUCUACGAACCGAAGAUUGCAGGUUCGAGUCCUCCCGUGGUCG
This 72-nucleotide transfer RNA is filed under the name Toxocara canis (dog roundworm). It matches the Rfam family "tRNA". Rfam says of the family: Transfer RNA (tRNA) molecules are approximately 80 nucleotides in length. Their secondary structure includes four short double-helical elements and three loops (D, anti-codon, and T loops). Further hydrogen bonds mediate the characteristic L-shaped molecular structure. tRNAs have two regions of fundamental functional importance: the anti-codon, which is responsible for specific mRNA codon recognition, and the 3' end, to which the tRNAs corresponding amino acid is attached (by aminoacyl-tRNA synthetases). tRNAs cope with the degeneracy of the genetic code in two manners: having more than one tRNA (with a specific anti-codon) for a particular amino acid; and 'wobble' base-pairing, i.e. permitting non-standard base-pairing at the 3rd anti-codon position. The record is from Rfam by way of RNAcentral. Lineage: Eukaryota; Metazoa; Nematoda; Chromadorea; Rhabditida; Toxocaridae.